UCCCAGGUCAAAGACCAAGGGCAGAGGUCAUCAAGAGGUCAAGUCUAAUCUACCUACAGAUGUGGCAGGCUUAACUAUGGAUGUUCAAGCCAGACAUUGCCAGCAGAACCACAUCUCUUUACCCAUAGUUUGGUGGCAGCAGUGGGAUCCAAAGGAGAUAUCUCAUAGCUUUGGGGAUGAGAAACACAGGCAUUGGUACCUGCAAAACCUUUGAGUUCUCCAUCUUUUUUUGCUGUUUCUGAGUCUUGUUGGAGCUCUUCCAGAAGGUGGUGCCCUCUCAGUGCCUGGGC
Long non-coding RNA from Diceros bicornis minor, 290 nucleotides. RefSeq lists it as uncharacterized. Lineage: Eukaryota; Metazoa; Chordata; Mammalia; Perissodactyla; Rhinocerotidae. The record is from RefSeq and is a predicted model, not a curated record. The transcript is spliced from 3 exons.